UGGGGAAUAUUGGGCAAUGGGCGCAAGCCUGACCCAGCCACGCCGCGUGAGUGAUGAAGGCCUUCGGGUCGUAAAGCUCUGUGGGGAAGGACGAAAAAACAUUGGCUAAUAUCCAAUGGCUUGACGGUACUUCCUUAGCAAGCACCGGCUAACUCUGUGCCAGCAGCCGCGGUAAUACAGAGGGUGCAAACGUUGCUCGGAAUCAUUGGGCGUAAAGCGCACGUAGGCGGCCUGAUAAGUCGGUAGUGAAAGCCCUCGGCUUAACCGAGGAAGUGCUAUCGAAACUGCCAGGCUUGAGUACCGGAGAGGAUCGCGGAAUUCCCGGUGUAGAGGUGAAAUUCGUAGAUAUCGGGAGGAACACCAGUGGCGAAGGCGGCGAUCUGGACGGAUACUGACGCUGAGGUGCGAAAGCGUGGGGAGCGAAACAGGAUUAGAUACCCUCGUAGUCCCUGAGCGGGCUGGCAAGGCGCAU
Molecule: ribosomal RNA, 472 nt
Filed under: uncultured bacterium
Lineage: Bacteria
Description: bacterial SSU rRNA
Rfam family: Bacterial small subunit ribosomal RNA
Source: RNAcentral